Molecule: long non-coding RNA, 343 nt
Organism: Rattus norvegicus (Norway rat)
Lineage: Eukaryota; Metazoa; Chordata; Mammalia; Rodentia; Muridae
Source: RefSeq, a predicted model, not a curated record
GAGGCGCCCGCUCGGGUUCAGCCCUGCGCCUCGCCAGCACGCCGGCUCCCAGUCCGGCUCCCUGGGCGCUGCAGGUGACCCGGCGGCACAUUCCGGCGCUCCCCGCUGCCCCGGCUACCACCACCCGCGACUCAGCUACAAGGAAGCAGAGAGCGCCCGAGCCGCCAACCAACCCCUCCCAUAAGCUCCUCUGGACCGACUGGAUGGGCUGUGCCUCCCGCUGCUGCCAUGAAACUGAGAAGCUGGGGAACGAUGCGCUCCAGCCGGGCAAUCGCCACGGCUUGGGAAAUAAGAACUUGGACAAAUUAAUCCUUUUCAUUAAAAAAAAAAAUCUUCGGAGGUA